This 492-nucleotide ribosomal RNA is filed under the name uncultured bacterium. RNAcentral's name for it is "partial 16S ribosomal RNA". It matches the Rfam family "Bacterial small subunit ribosomal RNA", at positions 28 to 507 of the family's 1533-position model. The record is from RNAcentral.
GAUGAACGCUGGCUACAGGCUUAACACAUGCAAGUCGAGGGGAAACGGCAUUGAGUGCUUGCACUGAAUGGACGUCGACCGGCGCACGGGUGAGUAACGCGUAUCCAACCUUCCCGUUACUGCGGGAUAACCUGCCGAAAGGCAGACUAAUACCGCAUGUUCUUCGAUGACGGCAUCAGAUUCGAAGCAAAGAUCCGUCGGUAACGGAGGGGGAUGCGUCUGAUUAGCUAGUUGGCGGGGCGACGGCCCACCAAGGCGACGAUCAGUAGGGGUUCUGAGAGGAAGGUCCCCCACAUUGGAACUGAGACACGGUCCAAACUCCUACGGGAGGCAGCAGUGAGGAAUAUUGGUCAAUGGGCGGAAGCCUGAACCAGCCAAGUAGCGUGCAGGAUGACGGCCCUACGGGUUGUAAACUGCUUUUAUGCGGGGAUAAAGUGAGGGACGCGUCCCUUUUUGCAGGUACCGCAUGAAUAAGGACCGGCUAAGUCCGUG